Molecule: ribosomal RNA, 411 nt
Filed under: uncultured bacterium
Lineage: Bacteria
Description: bacterial SSU rRNA
Rfam family: Bacterial small subunit ribosomal RNA
Source: RNAcentral
AAUUGUUCGCAAUGGGCGCAAGCCUGACGCAGCGACGCCGCGUGGGGGAUGGAGGUCUUCGGAUUGUAAACCCCUUUCGGCAGGGAAGAUGGAGCGGGCAACCGUUCGGACGGUACCUGCAGAAGCAGCCACGGCUAACUUCGUGCCAGCAGCCGCGGUAAUACGAAGGUGGCAAGCGUUGUUCGGAUUCACUGGGCGUACAGGGAGCGUAGGCGGUUAGGUAAGCCCUCCGUGAAAUCUCCGGGCCUAACCCGGAAAGUGCAGAGGGGACUGCUUGGCUAGAGGAUGGGAGAGGAGCGCGGAAUUCCCGGUGUAGCGGUGAAAUGCGUAGAGAUCGGGAGGAAGGCCGGUGGCGAAGGCGGCGCUCUGGAACAUUUCUGACGCUGAGGCUCGAAAGCGUGGGGAGCAAAC